RNAcentral lists this ribosomal RNA (316 nucleotides) under uncultured eukaryote. RNAcentral's name for it is "partial 18S ribosomal RNA". It matches the Rfam family "Eukaryotic small subunit ribosomal RNA", at positions 1470 to 1796 of the family's 1831-position model. The record is from RNAcentral.
CCCCUAGAUGUUCUGGGCCGCACGCGCGCUACACUGAACAGUUCAACAAGUCUUAACCUUGGCCGAUAGGUCUGGGUAAUCUUUGAACGCUGUUCGUGAUUGGGAUAGACCUUUGCAAUUAUGGGUCUUCAACGAGGAAUUCCUAGUAAACGCAAGUCAUCAGCUUGCAUUGAUUACGUCCCUGCCCUUUGUACACACCGCCCGUCGCACCUACCGAUUGAAUGGUCCGGUGAAACCUCCGGAUUGGCGCGUGCCCUCGGGCGCCGCCGAGAAGUUGGUUAAACCUUACCAUUUAGAGGAAGGUGAAGUCGUAACA